This 83-nucleotide transfer RNA is filed under the name Nitellopsis obtusa. RNAcentral's name for it is "tRNA-Leu". It matches the Rfam family "tRNA". Rfam says of the family: Transfer RNA (tRNA) molecules are approximately 80 nucleotides in length. Their secondary structure includes four short double-helical elements and three loops (D, anti-codon, and T loops). The record is from RNAcentral. Lineage: Eukaryota; Viridiplantae; Streptophyta; Charophyceae; Charales; Characeae.
GGGGGUAUGGCGGAAUUGGUAUACGCUACGGACUUAAAAUCCGUUGGUUUUAAACCAUGAGGGUUCGACCCCCUCUACCCCCA